UUCAGGGCGAAUAUUGAUGAGGUGGAGACGGAGGUUGUGGAGAUCGAGGCAAAGCUAGAUAAGCUGGUGAAGCUAUGCAGUGGGAUGAUCGAGGCGGGGAAGGCGUAUGUGAGCGCCAACAAACUCUUCGUCAACGGCAUCCGGGAUCUGUCUCAGCAGUGCAAGAAGGACGAGGUGAUCUCUGAGUUCCUGGAAAAGUGCGGGGAAAGCCUCCAGGAGAUCAUCAACUACCACAUG
Paralichthys olivaceus (Japanese flounder) is the source of this 237-nucleotide non-coding RNA. The record is from RefSeq and is a predicted model, not a curated record. Lineage: Eukaryota; Metazoa; Chordata; Actinopteri; Pleuronectiformes; Paralichthyidae.